CUCCGGGCUCCAACGCCCCGGGACAGGACGGCGGCCGCCUGGCGGGCUCGGCCUGGGGCUGGGGAUGGGCCCAUGCAGCGCCGCGGGGCGGGAAGGUCAUGCGGCCGGAUACGCCCACUUGCUGGCACGCAGGCGCAGAGCGCGCCCCUGCCCCACGGCGCCGCCAGUGCGCAAGCGCGGCGGCCGACGCGAGCGUCUGUGCGGCGAGAAGAUGGCGGCGGCGGGGAACGCGGCGUGAGGAGCCGGAGCAGCGCCGAGUCCCAUUGAAACGGGGCGCCAUGGCCCUCCACGGCCCGCAGUAUAUUUUUGGAGAUUUUAGCCCUGAUGAAUUCAAUCAGUUCUUUGUGACGCCUCGCUCUUCAGUUGAGCUCCCCCCGUACAGUGGAACAGCUCUGUGUGGCACUCAGGCUGCGGACGAACUGCCUGAUGGACAAGAGUAUCAGAGAAUUGAGUUCGGUGUCAAUGAAGUAAUUGACCCCAGUGACACUCUGCCGAGAGCCCCCGGCAACAGUAUUUCAAGCACAUUGAACCCUCAGGCCCCUGAAUUUAUUCUUGGUUGUACAGCUUCCAAAAAGACCCCUGAUGGGCUAGACCAGGAGGUGAACUCCAGCUCCCUUGACCACCCAUACCCGGGCCCAGCCCUGGCCUUGGACAGCAGCUCGCAUGCUGAGGCAGAGGCUCUGGAGAACACUGGUGGCCCAGGUGGCCUGGGACAGAGGGAGCGGAAAAGGAAGAAGAAGCGGCCCCCAGGGUAUUACAGUUACCUGAAAACUGGGGGUGACGAAAGUAUUUCCACAGAAGCUGUGGUCAACGGCCAUGCCAACUCAGCUGGCCUCGGUGGGGUGGGCGCCGAGGAUGCGGAGUUUAUGGGUGACAUGCUCCCGCCGGUUUCGCCCAGGACUUGUGACAGCCCUCAGAACUCCACGGACUUCAUCAGUGACACUGUGCCUGAUAGUCCUUACCCUGGAGCGCUCGACAGCGCCGCCAGGACUGUGGGGCAGCCCGAGGGCUGCUGUGGGCCUGACUUUGAGCAAGCCUGCCUCCCCGCAGACCGCCUGCUAAGGACAGCUGUGGCUCCGCCCUGUGCUGCUACCGAUACUACUGAGAACCUUGGCAUCACCAAUGGACAAGUACUUGAAUCCUCGAGUGUGGGCACAGCUGCCAACGGGGAGCUGCACACUGUGGAGAGCACAGACUCAGACGUGGCCAAGCUGGAGCGUGCGCCACCUCCCGCUGACAGCGUACUCCCUGCACCCAUUCCCAUUAACCAGCCUGCCAAGUCCUGGGCCAGCCUCUUUCAUGAUGCUAAGCCCUCUUCCUCCUCACCCGUGGCGUAUGUGGAAACUAAGUGUUCACCUCCUGCCCCAUCUCCCCUGGUCUCUGAAAAGCAGGUUGAAGUCAAAGAAGGGCUUGUUCCAGUUUCAGAGGAUCCCGUAGCCAUGCAGAUCGCAGAGUUACUGGAGAACGUAACCCUAGUACAUAAGCCAGUGUCAUUGCAACCCCGCGGGCUGAUCAAUAAAGGAAACUGGUGCUACAUUAAUGCUACUCUGCAGGCGUUGGUCGCUUGCCCUCCGAUGUACCACCUCAUGAAGUUCAUUCCUCUGUACUCCAAGGUGCAGAGGCCUUGCACGUCGACGCCCAUGAUAGAUAGCUUUGUUCGGCUAAUGAACGAGUUUACCAACAUGCCUGUGCCUCCGAAGCCCCGCCAAGCUCUUGGAGAUAAAAUCGUGAGGGACAUCCGGCCUGGAGCUGCCUUUGAGCCCACGUACAUUUACAGACUCCUGACCGUCAUCAAGUCGAGCCUGUCUGAAAAGGGUCGACAGGAAGAUGCUGAGGAGUACCUGGGCUUCAUCCUAAACGGCCUGCACGAGGAGAUGCUGAGCCUGAAGAGGCUCCUCUCACCGGACAGUGAAAAACUCACGGUUUCCAAUGGGCCCAGAAGCCCCUUGCCCAAGGACGCAGCACAGCAAGAGCAAGGUGAAGGCAGCGAGGAGGAGUGGGAGCAAGUGGGCCCCAGGAACAAGACGUCGGUCACCCGCCAGGCGGAUUUCGUUCAGACCCCAAUCACUGGCAUUUUUGGCGGACACAUCAGGUCGGUGGUUUACCAGCAGAGUUCAAAAGAGUCUGCCACCCUGCAGCCAUUUUUCACAUUGCAGCUGGAUAUCCAGUCUGACAAGAUACGCACCGUGCAGGAUGCGCUCGAGAGCCUGGUGGCGAGAGAAUCUGUCCAGGGUUACACCACGAAAACCAAACAAGAGGUGGAGAUCAGCCGGCGGGUGACUCUGGAGAAGCUGCCUCCUGUCCUUGUGCUGCACCUGAAGCGCUUCGUGUAUGAGAAGACUGGCGGCUGCCAGAAGCUGGCCAAGAACAUCGACUACCCCGUGGACCUGGAGAUCAGCAGGGAACUGCUUUCUCCAGGGGUUAAAAAUAAGAAUUUUAAAUGCCAUAGGACCUACAGGCUCUUCGCAGGAUUCCCCACACUCGAGGAGAGAAGUCAGUCUUCUGUGGCCUGCAGGGCCGGCAGACCCCUGUCUGCCUCAGCUGCUCCCGUGCUCCUAGGAAGUCUGAUUGGGUCCUGGCCUGCGUGGAUGUCCUCAGCUCUCCUGGCCUCCCGAGCCCACCUCAAGCUCCUUCUCUGCACCACACCGGCGUAGUCCUGGGCAGGGUUGGGGAGUCCUUGUCUCUGGGUCCAGGGCCCCGGAUGAGUGCAGGCCCUCCCCACCUGCCCUCUGCACCCUAAUCUUGACUCUUGUCUUGGAAAUAAGGUCACCAGGCUGCUUAGAAUUCUCUGUAAAAUGUGAGUAAAGAAUUAUUUUUUUAAAUGGUUCUGAUUGUGGGACUGAGGAAAAUUAAAUAAUGUGCAUUCUCAAAAACGAAACUUUGAAGAGCUUUCACAGACUGGUCCUCCAUUGUGGUCCUGUUGGUGGGGUCGCCAGCAGGGCUGUGGUGUCCCCUGGCUGCUCUGAAGAGCCCAGGGUGCGGCGGCGCACAGCUCUGCUGAAGCAUCUGUGGCCAUGUCCCGGGGACACAGACCCACAGCCUCAGGCCCUGGCAUCCUGCCACACAGUCACUGAACAGUGUGCAGCUUGGAGCUGGAAAGGAGGACAGAGUUCCAAAGCAAAUCUGGGGUCCCUUUGUCAGUCACCCGGAUCCCUGGGCCCCACAUGGCGUCUCCUUGAGUCUGUGGCCAGGGAGCGACAGCACCUCUUGGCACACCCCUGCCGUCCUCUAGCCCUGGGGUCCCUGCCCUGGGUGGCCCUGUGGCCACAUCUCAGUGCUGGGGCUUGUCCCCCGGACGCCGUGGGUCCUCACACCCGCCCAGGCCCACGUCCCCCGGCCACUGGCUCUGCUCCUGCCGCGGAGGGGAGCACAUCGCCCAGAGAGCCUCUGGGUCUGAAGCCUUGACCAGGGCUUCUUGGUUGGGCUACAGGGUUUUAAAAGAAGUAAGUAACGAGUGGUAUUUUUAUCUAUUAAGACCGCUGUAGGAAAAUGAGCGGUCCCUGGCGCGGCCUCUGCAGGGUCCCCACAGCUCCGGCUCCGCCCGCACUGCUGUGGGCCUCCCGUGCCCCGCUCCCCGCUCCCCACAGGCCACGCUCUCCUCGCCCUGCAGUGGUCUACCAUCACGGCAACAGCGCCACGGGCGGGCACUACACCACCGACGUCUUCCAGAUCGGGCUCAACGGCUGGCUGCGCAUCGACGACCAGGUGGUCAAGGUGAUCCAGCAGUACCAGGUGCUGAAGCCCGCCGCCGAACGCACCGCCUACCUCCUGUAUUACCGCCGUGUGGACCU
This is a non-coding RNA of Heterocephalus glaber (naked mole-rat), 3791 nucleotides long. NCBI's taxonomy places the organism in Eukaryota, Metazoa, Chordata, Mammalia, Rodentia, Bathyergidae. The record is from RefSeq and is a predicted model, not a curated record.